CGCUGCGCCUACACCCAAAGGGUCCGGCUAUUGCGCGGCUGUGGCGCGCGGGGCUUCCGCUUCUCCACUUAAGGCAACCGCCGCCGGCUCGCUUCCUGCUCCUCCUCGCCAACAAAACCCCAGGAAAAGUCUCCGCGGACAACCCCGUGCUUCGCUCGAGGCUAGUUUCCUUCACCUCCGCCGCUUCCCUCGUUAACUCCUCCUGGUCGGUCGGUCGGUCUCUCUCUCCCCUCUUGCUUGCCACCCCCUCCCGGUCUUCCGCUCACGCAGGCGCUUUCUCCGCUUCUCCCGUCGCUGCUCUUCUUAAGCAGCAACAGCCGCUUCCCUACGCGCGCCAGUGCGCGGGCUCCUGCGUGGAGUUUGCAAAGUGCCGCCGCUCCCUGACUGGGCGUCGCGCGGCUUCGCGGACUCUGGGGAGGAGCUGGUCUUGGCGAGAGGCUCCUCGCAGCGCCCCGCUGCCUCCUGCUGACUAACUGAUUGAGCCGCCGCUGCCGCCCCUGCGUCCUCCUCCCCGGGCCGCCGGGCAGGCGAGUCAGUCAGAGCGCUUCUCUCCCUCUCUCUUUCCCCUUCUCUCUCCCACACACAAACACAUACACGCCCCGGAACGGCUGAGAAGCAGGCUCCAGAGGGGCAGGGAGGAGGAGGAGGGACGGCUGGUGAUAGCUGCAGGACGGGCUGCGACAGCGGGGGCCUGUGCGCCUGGGAGAGGUGGAGAUAUGCCCCGGGGGAGCGGCGCCCUCGGGGGGAAGCGAGCGAGUCAGCGGCGGGUCGCCUCAGAGCUGCUCCUGUUUUGGCGGGAACGCGCGAGGAGCCCCGUGGAGCGGCACCUUCGCGGGCGGGCAGGUGGGCUGGAAAGAGGGCAGCGCCCCGCUCCUCCCCCACCUCGCGCCCCGCUCCGAACUGGGCGGCAUCUCUGCGAAACUGACGGGCAGCCCAGCCAGGCAGAAGCCCCUCAGUCAGCUCCUCUGGAACCUGGGCUGCAAUUCUUGCUAACACUUGACAGAAUAGGCAGCUUGACUGAAGAGAGUGAUUCAGCACCGGAUGUGACCUGAGGGCAGCUGAUAGCAGAGCGAGGAGGCGUGGCAGUGGAUGUGCUGGACCAUUUUCUUGCCUUGGCAAUGGACUGAAUGAACAAAACAGCAGAGGGAUUUGAAGAGAUGGACCAUGACUGCAGAGACAAAGCCACCAAGCCUGGAUUUGGAGAUGAUGAUUCAGGCUGGAUUUUUGCCAGGAAGUUGCAAUGCAUCAGAGUUUUCAAGGUCGAAAGUCAGGUGCUCUGUAUAAUUAAGCAAACUGACAUUGUCAGCUAAUGCAAAGGGAAAAGCCUUGCUGUCAGCAGUCAUAUCAAAAGUGAACAGGACAGCACUGUCCCUCCUGUAAAGGUACGUAUAUAAAAUGUCCAUUUGGCAUGAUAUACCCGGAAUGGAUGCUUCAAGUAGUGACAAAAUUAGAUAUUAGCUUGACAAGAUUCACUUGUUGCAGCAUGUGGGAUUCCAGAUAUUUAUUUGCCAGCUUGAUAGAAAUAAGGUAUGUGAUCAGCAUUUCCUAACCACUCCAACACCGCACACACAGAUACCUCACUUCCCAUUCCUAAACUUACAUUUUCUAAUAUAUUUUGGGUGUUUUUUUAAGGUCAUUACCAAUAUGUUACCUUUAUUUACAGAGUAAUCCUACCUUCCUGGAUGAGGAGAGAGCUGUGGCACAGCCACUGCUGCAGGAAGAACCUAGCUGUAUUGCAUUGGAUAGGGGGAGGCAACUUUUUGACCUGUGUUUGUAUUCCUUUUACAUUUUAUCUUCCAUUGACCACAGUAGGAGUGAAAUACAUAUACCAGCUUUGGACUGGUGUAUGGCGUGCAGGGGAAGGGGAGAGAGAGAGAUGUCCAAGGAAUAUUAAGGCUCUGGAUCCUGAAAAUCCAUGGCCUUCCCCAACCUGCCCCCAGAAUGCCUUGUUCGUGGCUUCUUUAUAUACAGAGGACCACCAGUAGAACAGUGACAGCAGUGGAGCUUUCUACCAUUGCACUGUGAGGACGUGUAACUGCAGACCUCCCUCAUGAAACGGGAGCCUGCAGUACCUGAUUUCUUGUUGACUGUCCUCCACAAAGGCUUAGGCUUUGUUCCAUUAAGAAUAAACACAUUUUUGAAUG
Molecule: long non-coding RNA, 2144 nt
Organism: Podarcis raffonei (Aeolian wall lizard)
Lineage: Eukaryota; Metazoa; Chordata; Lepidosauria; Squamata; Lacertidae
Exons: 3
Source: RefSeq, a predicted model, not a curated record